Molecule: ribosomal RNA, 505 nt
Filed under: uncultured bacterium
Lineage: Bacteria
Description: bacterial SSU rRNA
Rfam family: Bacterial small subunit ribosomal RNA
Source: RNAcentral
ACUGCGGCGUGCUAAUAGUGCAAGUCGAAGCGACGGACGAGAAGCUUGCUUCUCUGAUGUUAGCGGCGGACGGGCGAGUAACACGUGGAUAACCUACCUAUAAGACUGGGAUAACUUCUGGAAACCGGAGCUAAUACCGGAUAAUGAGUUUGAACCGCAUGGUUCAAAAGUGAAAGACGGUCUUGCUGUCACUUAUAGAUGGAUCCGCGCUGCAUUAGCUAGUUGGUAAGGUAACGGCUUACCAAGGCAACGAUGCAUAGCCGACCUGAGAGGGUGAUCGGCCACACUGGAACUGAGACACGGUCCAGACUCCUACGGGAGGCAGCAGUAGGGAAUCUUCCGCAAUGGGCGAAAGCCUGACGGAGCAACGCCGCGUGAGUGAUGAAGGUCUUCGGAUCGUAAAACUCUGUUAUUAGGGAAGAACAUAUGUGUAAGUAACUGUGCACAUCUUGACUGUACCUAAUCAGAAAGCCACGGCUAACUACGUGCCAGCAGCCGCGGUAAU